CAGUCAGUCUAUUAACAGGCACUUAGCAAAUAGUGACUUCAUGACAGUUACAGGGAAUGCUAGGAGGGAAAACCCGCGGGUGCUAGGAAAAUGUGCAAUGGAGGGAUGCACGCAGUCGUGGGGCCAGGAUCUGCUCCCCAGGAAACGGCGCUGAGAGGAGGACAGUGUCGCCAGGCUAGGAGGGUGAGGGCGUCAGCGGAGAGAACGGCCUGCGUGGGGGCUGGUGGGCGGAGCGGGUGGAUCUUGGCAAACGGCAGGAAUGGAAACGGCUGGAGCAUAUGUCUCAGUGACAUCGCCACGGAAAUGAGAAAGAGAACCUGCCAUUCUCACUGACUGCUCUCUUAUCUCCCCACAGGGUGAAUACAUUCAUGAACUACCCAAGGCCAAUGCCCUGUUUGUAUAAGGCAUGUUCCCCAUACCUGGUUUCUGGCUACCACCUUAUAAGAAGCAAGCUGUGACAGCUCACAGCCCCCAGCCCCCUUUGCUGAAUUGGGUACUUCUUCACUACGUUCUAGCAACUUCUAGGGUAGACAUUGAGGAAAGGAGAAAAUGUAAUUAAACAUGGCACUUGGUGUCCUCUAGUGGCUCAAGAAUGUUGGCUCCAGGAGUGGGAAAACCCAGUGGCUGGAGAGUAGAGGAGAGCCACUCACGCUGCAGGGCAUGGUGUUUGAGCAAGGACAGCUCCUCCUCACACGGGGUCAUCCUGGCUGCCUCUCACAUAGGAGAUGGUGAGAAUGGGUAUGCCAGCCACCUUUCCAGAUAUUGCUGAACUAUAUCAGCAUGUGCUGCCAUCAAAGAAUCAGCAAAGGAUGUCAGGGCAGGGACAGGCGCUGCAGAGUGACUUUCAUAGAGCAAGG
Molecule: long non-coding RNA, 857 nt
Filed under: Homo sapiens (human)
Lineage: Eukaryota; Metazoa; Chordata; Mammalia; Primates; Hominidae
Description: HSALNT0026906
Source: RNAcentral